RNAcentral lists this transfer RNA (66 nucleotides) under Vorticeros sp. n. MW-2019. RNAcentral's name for it is "tRNA-Tyr". It matches the Rfam family "tRNA". Rfam says of the family: Transfer RNA (tRNA) molecules are approximately 80 nucleotides in length. Their secondary structure includes four short double-helical elements and three loops (D, anti-codon, and T loops). Lineage: Eukaryota; Metazoa; Platyhelminthes; Prolecithophora; Plagiostomidae. The record is from RNAcentral.
UGUGAGGUAGUUUAUAUAUAGAACAUUAAACUGUAAAUUUAAUAGAAAGUUUUCUCUUCCUUAUAA